UACGGGGGGGGCAAGCGUUGUUCGGAAUUACUGGGCGUAAAGGGCUCGUAGGCGGCCAACUAAGUCGGAUGUGAAAUCCCCAGGCUUAACCUGGGAACUGCAUCCGAUACUGGAUGGCUUGAAUUCGGGAGAGGGAUGCAGAAUUCCAGGUGUAGCGGUGAAAUGCGUAGAUAUCUGGAGGAACACCGGUGGCGAAGGCGGGUCUCUGGGACGGUACUGACGCUGAGACGCGAAAGCGUGGGGAGCGAACAGG
RNAcentral lists this ribosomal RNA (253 nucleotides) under uncultured bacterium. RNAcentral describes it as "partial 16S ribosomal RNA". It matches the Rfam family "Bacterial small subunit ribosomal RNA", at positions 524 to 776 of the family's 1533-position model. The record is from RNAcentral.